RNAcentral lists this ribosomal RNA (468 nucleotides) under uncultured bacterium. RNAcentral describes it as "partial 16S ribosomal RNA". It matches the Rfam family "Bacterial small subunit ribosomal RNA", at positions 28 to 507 of the family's 1533-position model. The record is from RNAcentral.
GACGAACGCUGGCGGCGUGCUUAACACAUGCAAGUCGAACGGACAGGCCCUGCUUUUGUGGGGUGCUCGAGUGGCGAACGGGUGAGUAACACGUGAGUAACCUGCCCUUGACUUUGGGAUAACUUCAGGAAACUGGGGCUCAUACCGCAUAGGAGCUCCUGCUGCAUGGUGUGGGUUGGAAAGUUUCGGCGGUUGGGGAUGGACUCGCGGCUUAUCAGCUUGUUGGUCGGGUAGUGGCUUACGAAGGCUGUGACGGGUAGCCGGCCUGAGAGGGUGACCGGCCACAUUGGGACUGAGAGACGGCGCAGACUCCUACGGGAGGCAGCAGUGGGGAAUAUUGCACAAUGGGCGGAAGCCUGAUGCAGCAACGCCGCGUGCGGGAUGACGGCCUUCGGGUUGUAAACCGCUUUCGCCUGUGACGAAGCGUGAGUGACGGUAAUGGGUAAAGAAGCACCGGCUAACUACGUG